GCCGGGUGUGCUGGCUCACACCUGUAAUCCCAGCACUCUGGGAGGCCGAGGCGGGAGAAUCACCUUUGGUCAGGAGUUUGAGACCAGCCUGACCAACAUGGAGAUAUCCCAUCUCUA
RNAcentral lists this non-coding RNA (117 nucleotides) under Nomascus leucogenys (northern white-cheeked gibbon). Lineage: Eukaryota; Metazoa; Chordata; Mammalia; Primates; Hylobatidae. The record is from Rfam by way of RNAcentral.